RNAcentral lists this ribosomal RNA (2753 nucleotides) under Salmonella enterica subsp. enterica serovar Enteritidis. RNAcentral describes it as "partial 23S ribosomal RNA". It matches the Rfam family "Bacterial large subunit ribosomal RNA". Lineage: Bacteria; Pseudomonadati; Pseudomonadota; Gammaproteobacteria; Enterobacterales; Enterobacteriaceae. The record is from RNAcentral.
AAUCCAUAGGUUAAUGAGGCGAACCGGGGGAACUGAAACAUCUAAGUACCCCGAGGAAAAGAAAUCAACCGAGAUUCCCCCAGUAGCGGCGAGCGAACGGGGAGGAGCCCAGAGCCUGAAUCAGCAUGUGUGUUAGUGGAAGCGUCUGGAAAGGCGCGCGAUACAGGGUGACAGCCCCGUACACAAAAGCGCAUGUGCUGUGAGCUCGAUGAGUAGGGCGGGACACGUGGUAUCCUGUCUGAAUAUGGGGGGACCAUCCUCCAAGGCUAAAUACUCCUGACUGACCGAUAGUGAACCAGUACCGUGAGGGAAAGGCGAAAAGAACCCCGGCGAGGGGAGUGAAAAAGAACCUGAAACCGUGUACGUACAAGCAGUGGGAGCACCCUUUGGGUGUGACUGCGUACCUUUUGUAUAAUGGGUCAGCGACUUAUAUUCUGUAGCAAGGUUAACCGAAUAGGGGAGCCGGAGGGAAACCGAGUCUUAAUUGGGCGUUAAGUUGCAGGGUAUAGACCCGAAACCCGGUGAUCUAGCCAUGGGCAGGUUGAAGGUUGGGUAACACUAACUGGAGGACCGAACCGACUAAUGUUGAAAAAUUAGCGGAUGACCUGUGGCUGGGGGUGAAAGGCCAAUCAAACCGGGAGAUAGCUGGUUCUCCCCGAAAGCUAUUUAGGUAGCGCCUCGUGAAUUCAUCUCCGGGGGUAGAGCACUGUUUCGGCUAGGGGGCCAUCCCGGCUUACCAACCCGAUGCAAACUGCGAAUACCGGAGAAUGUUAUCACGGGAGACACACGGCGGGUGCUAACGUCCGUCGUGAAGAGGGAAACAACCCAGACCGCCAGCUAAGGUCCCAAAGUCAUGGUUAAGUGGGAAACGAUGUGGGAAGGCCCAGACAGCCAGGAUGUUGGCUUAGAAGCAGCCAUCAUUUAAAGAAAGCGUAAUAGCUCACUGGUCGAGUCGGCCUGCGCGGAAGAUGUAACGGGGCUAAACCAUGCACCGAAGCUGCGGCAGCGACACUGUGUGUUGUUGGGUAGGGGAGCGUUCUGUAAGCCUGUGAAGGUGUGUCGUGAGGCAUGCUGGAGGUAUCAGAAGUGCGAAUGCUGACAUAAGUAACGAUAAAGCGGGUGAAAAGCCCGCUCGCCGGAAGACCAAGGGUUCCUGUCCAACGUUAAUCGGGGCAGGGUGAGUCGACCCCUAAGGCGAGGCCGAAAGGCGUAGUCGAUGGGAAACGGGUUAAUAUUCCCGUACUUGGUGUUACUGCGAAGGGGGGACGGAGAAGGCUAUGUUGGCCGGGCGACGGUUGUCCCGGUUUAAGCGUGUAGGUGUGUGUUCCAGGUAAAUCCGGUUCACUUUAACACUGAGGCGUGACGACGAGGCACUACGGUGCUGAAGCAACAAAUGCCCUGCUUCCAGGAAAAGCCUCUAAGCAUCAGGUAACAUCAAAUCGUACCCCAAACCGACACAGGUGGUCAGGUAGAGAAUACCAAGGCGCUUGAGAGAACUCGGGUGAAGGAACUAGGCAAAAUGGUGCCGUAACUUCGGGAGAAGGCACGCUGACACGUAGGUGAAGUGAUUUACUCAUGGAGCUGAAGUCAGUCGAAGAUACCAGCUGGCUGCAACUGUUUAUUAAAAACACAGCACUGUGCAAACACGAAAGUGGACGUAUACGGUGUGACGCCUGCCCGGUGCCGGAAGGUUAAUUGAUGGGGUCAGCGCAAGCGAAGCUCCUGAUCGAAGCCCCGGUAAACGGCGGCCGUAACUAUAACGGUCCUAAGGUAGCGAAAUUCCUUGUCGGGUAAGUUCCGACCUGCACGAAUGGCGUAAUGAUGGCCAGGCUGUCUCCACCCGAGACUCAGUGAAAUUGAACUCGCUGUGAAGAUGCAGUGUACCCGCGGCAAGACGGAAAGACCCCGUGAACCUUUACUAUAGCUUGACACUGAACAUUGAGCCUUGAUGUGUAGGAUAGGUGGGAGGCUUUGAAGUGUGGACGCCAGUCUGCAUGGAGCCGACCUUGAAAUACCACCCUUUAAUGUUUGAUGUUCUAACGUGGACCCGUUACCCGGGUUGCGGACAGUGUCUGGUGGGUAGUUUGACUGGGGCGGUCUCCUCCUAAAGAGUAACGGAGGAGCACGAAGGUUGGCUAAUCCUGGUCGGACAUCAGGAGGUUAGUGCAAUGGCAUAAGCCAGCUUGACUGCGAGCGUGACGGCGCGAGCAGGUGCGAAAGCAGGUCAUAGUGAUCCGGUGGUUCUGAAUGGAAGGGCCAUCGCUCAACGGAUAAAAGGUACUCCGGGGAUAACAGGCUGAUACCGCCCAAGAGUUCAUAUCGACGGCGGUGUUUGGCACCUCGAUGUCGGCUCAUCACAUCCUGGGGCUGAAGUAGGUCCCAAGGGUAUGGCUGUUCGCCAUUUAAAGUGGUACGCGAGCUGGGUUUAGAACGUCGUGAGACAGUUCGGUCCCUAUCUGCCGUGGGCGCUGGAGAACUGAGGGGGGCUGCUCCUAGUACGAGAGGACCGGAGUGGACGCAUCACUGGUGUUCGGGUUGUCAUGCCAAUGGCACUGCCCGGUAGCUAAAUGCGGAAGAGAUAAGUGCUGAAAGCAUCUAAGCACGAAACUUGCCCCGAGAUGAGUUCUCCCUGAGACUUAAAGUCUCCUGAAGGAACGUUGAAGACGACGACGUUGAUAGGCCGGGUGUGUAAGCGCAGCGAUGCGUUGAGCUAACCGGUACUAAUGAACCGUGAGGCUUAACCUUACAACGCC